Molecule: long non-coding RNA, 2516 nt
Organism: Rosa chinensis
Lineage: Eukaryota; Viridiplantae; Streptophyta; Magnoliopsida; Rosales; Rosaceae
Exons: 3
Source: RefSeq, a predicted model, not a curated record
UUCUCUUCUCUCUCUCUCUCUGUUCGUUCUCUGUUCUUCUCAUCUCCUUAUUCACUUCUUUUGAGGACAUCGCAGCUACUUUGGAGGUGGUUGUAGAAUGAAGCCAUGCAAUUGCAGAAGCUCCGAAUCGAGUCCUCCAUUUCUUUCUGACUCACACUCACUCCAAAGCCUCAAUUCUUCUUUUUCAUUUUUGUUGAGAGCUUGGUUUUUGUUAGCAGCUCAAAUUCUGGAAUGGCGAGUCGGUCGUCUCCGUCGUCUCCACCGUCCUCUGCUUCCAACUCCGACCACUACCCCACUCAACCCACCUCGACCCGAUCCACCAAAAAUGCGGGGCUCUCUUGCCCCGAUCUUGGCCCUCCUCGCCCUCCUAAUUUGCCCCUCUCCUCCACUAGGCUCACCUCCCCGCGGCCUCCACCACUUUUCUCUCUCUCCACAAAGCCUUCCUGCCAACCCACCACCAAGUCCAACUCGACCGCCGCCACCGCCCAUGUCCUCCACUGGCCUUCAAGAGGACAUGGGACGCAGUUCCAUAUUUUUGCAAUGAAUGUUUCUGUCCCAAUUUUAAUUCAAUGCAAGCAAUUCAACUAUUUUUUCGAGCCGGGUUUACUGAAGGUUUGGGUGCACAAGAAGAAUGGAAGAGUGGGUUUGUGGGUUGAAGAUUUAAGGAGGAUGUUUGUGGGGUUUGCGGUUUUAGCAAAGCAAAAUGAGUUUGAUGGGACAUGCUGGGAAGCGAAGAGCCUUUGGCAGAGUCAGAGUCGCAACUGAGGGCUCAACUUCAGUUGACGCUUUGGCUGAUGACUAUUACUCUGUCUUGGGUUUGGUUUGUAUAUGUUACUAUAGCAGUAUGGCUUCCAGAUGCAACACCAGCACAGAUCAAGAAAGCCUAUUACAAUUGUAUGAAGGCUUGUCAUCCUGACUUGAGUGGUGAUAAUCCGGAGACAACAAAUUUCUGUAUGUUCAUCAAUGAGGUCUAUGAGGUGGGUUUCCCUACGGAGCUUAAUGCUUUGAGCUCGAAGCGGGAGAGAUGGGUGCCCAGAUCAGAUUUGGAUCCCAUAAAAAUGAAUGGACGAAAGUUCCCCUAUAAAUUUGCCAGCUGGUAAGCUCCGUAACGGAGUUAACGUCCAUAUGCACCAAUUCUCGGUCGGGCAAACAACCUCAGGUAUCGAAGUUAUAUUUUUUUUAAUUUCAGGUACCAAAAGUCAUAAGGAGGCAAAGUUCAGGUACCGUACCAUUUUCCCUUACAUAAAUGUUUUCUCUAUGAUGCGGGAAGCAUGAAUUUUCUUGAUUCUUCUAAUAUUCAGGUUAGUCCAUCCUUCAUGUUCUAGAGAAUUUUAUACUUGGAAUAGUUUGGGGCUAAUCAUGUCAUGGGAAUUAACAAUUAGGACAUGUGGGUAUACUUAUUUAUAUUUGUUGUCUUCACCCUUUGGCAAUAUAAGCCAGGAGAGAAGAAGUGAGGAGAAGGGAGAUAAAUUUGUAACUUCCUCGUUUUUUGUUGUUGGGCUGGGGCGGGGUUGGGUUAAGGAAUUAAAAAUAUCUUUGGAAAUAAAUCAAAUAAUGUAUUGAAUCAUUUCUGGUAUGAUCUCUCCACUUCAAAACGACAUGUGAACUGGUGUCGUUUUUCUCUUCUUCUUUUCACGGUUCCUCCCAAUGCCUGUAGAUUUAAAAUGGAAAUUUUCAUCUCUCUUUGCCCUUAAUGCAGACUGGACUCCCAAUACUUGUGUCUCUUCCAAUCAUUUUUUCCCUUCUUCUCUUCUAUCCUAAACCGACUUUUGAAAGUUUCUUCAGUGUCGUCUGCCACUGCACUUCAUGUCUUACCAAAUGAAAUUCACUUGUUUUCAGCUGGAUCUCUUACCAUAAGAACAUAUUCCAUUUAAAUGCUGGAACCAUCCAGCUAUAUUUCUUCCUCAUUUCUGGAAUCUUGAAUAAAUGUCUACUGGUUGGAAUGCUGUAAUAUAAUAAUAAUAGUAUCUGCCAUGAUCUAUUUUGUUACUGAUUUAGGAUGCACGUAUUUUCAGGUUCUACAUCUAAGCCCAUUGUUUCCCAACUUUUUAUAGAACCUCCAGUUUCUCUAGAGGAGCAUGUGACAUUCCGUCUGUGGAAGAAGUUGAUGAAUUAUUGGUUGUUUGUAUCGGUCAAAUGGCUGACUGCAGGAAGUGAUCUUCUAUGGAAGCCCUUGAAUUAUGAGUUUGCUGAUGCAGACACGCAGUGACAAGGUCCAUGCAAGAAUUUUGGCGGAAUUUUGGGCUUGAGAAUUAUUAAAUAUCUUGUGGAGCGUCUAAGAGAAGAAUAUCGGGUAUUUGUUCCAGAAACAGAUAUCCCUUCUUUGCUGAGUUGCUCGAGGAUGUUGAGCCUUCUGUUAAAUCUCUGGCACAAGAAAUCUUCAACGAAUUGAGCACCAUGACUGGUGAAGACCUCUCGCAGUAUAUCUGAAUGCGAUAUUAUAGUCCCCACCUGACCAUGUUAGACAGGAAAGAUGUUGAUAGCUAAAUUUAUAAACUAUUGAUUUUCCUUAUUCA